UCUAAUUCAUCAGAUAUUAUUUAUUCUAGUAUCUGGAACACGAAAUAGAUAGAGUGGAUCAAAAAAAAUGGAACUAUGAUUCAUACUCACUAUUAAGACCUCGCAACCAGACUGAAAAAUUCAAGUAGUUCUUAAAUAAAAAUAAAAAAGAAAUUUUCUUCCUUCCAAUUUUGUUUGCCCAAAAGACAACUUUUUUUCUCU
Molecule: ribosomal RNA, 201 nt
Filed under: Triticum aestivum (bread wheat)
Lineage: Eukaryota; Viridiplantae; Streptophyta; Magnoliopsida; Poales; Poaceae
Description: partial small subunit ribosomal RNA
Source: RNAcentral